Molecule: ribosomal RNA, 420 nt
Filed under: uncultured bacterium
Lineage: Bacteria
Description: bacterial SSU rRNA
Rfam family: Bacterial small subunit ribosomal RNA
Source: RNAcentral
AGUGGCGAACGGGUGAGUAAUAUAUCGGAACGUGCCCAGUCUGGGGGGAGUAACGUAAGCGAAAGUUACGCUAAUACCGCAUACGAUCUACGGAUGAAANCGGGGGAUCGCAAGACCUCGCGCGAUUGGAGCGGCCGAUAUCAGAUUAGGUAGUUGGUGAGGUAAAGGGCUCACCAAGCCGACGAUCUGUAGCUGGUCUGAGAGGACGACCAGCCACACUGGGACUGAGACACGGCCCAGACUCCUACGGGAGGCAGCAGUGGGGAAUUUUGGACAAUGGGCGCAAGCCUGAUCCAGCAAUGCCGCGUGCAGGAUGAAGGCCUCCGGGUUGUAAACUGCUUUUGUACGGAACGAAACGGUGAGCUCUAAUACAGUUUGCUAAUGACGGUACCGUAAGAAUAAGCACCGGCUAACUACGUG